AAUCAAGCAAGACUACUCCCUGAAUUUAAGCAUAUUAUUAAGGGAAGGAAAAGAAAAUAACUAUGAUACCCGCAGUAAUGGCGAAUGAAGUGGGUAAAGCUCAAGCUUAAAAUCUAGUCUCUUUUGAGAUUCGAAUUGUAGUGUAAAUUAACAUUAAUAUGGUCAUGAUAAUUGCCUAAGUGUGAACAUCUGAAUUUCCUAUCAAAGACGGUGAUAAUCCGGUAUGGUAGUUUGAUUGGCUAAAUAUUCUUGUUAUUUAAAGAGUCGAGUUGUUUGGGAUUGCAACUCUAAUAAAGGUGAUAGAUUUCAUCUAAAGCUAAAUAUAUUAGGAAAACCGAUAGCAAAGAAGUACUGUGAAGGAAAGGUGAAAAGAACUUAGAAAAGAGAGUUAAAAGUAGCUUGAAAUUAGUUAAAA
RNAcentral lists this ribosomal RNA (415 nucleotides) under uncultured eukaryote. Its description in RNAcentral is "eukaryotic LSU rRNA". It matches the Rfam family "Eukaryotic large subunit ribosomal RNA", at positions 10 to 414 of the family's 3401-position model. The record is from RNAcentral.